Molecule: ribosomal RNA, 254 nt
Filed under: uncultured bacterium
Lineage: Bacteria
Description: partial 16S ribosomal RNA
Rfam family: Bacterial small subunit ribosomal RNA
Source: RNAcentral
UACGGAGGGUGCAAACGUUGCUCGGAAUCAUUGGGCGUAAAGCGCACGUAGGCGGACCUGCAAGUCGGGGGUGAAAGCCCGAGGCUCAACCUCGGAACUGCCUUCGAUACUGCGGGUCUCGAGUCCGGGAGAGGUGAGUGGAAUUCCUAGUGUAGAGGUGAAAUUCGUAGAUAUUAGGAAGAACACCAGUGGCGAAGGCGGCUCACUGGCCCGGUACUGACGCUGAGGCGCGAAAGCGUGGGGAGCAAACAGGG